This 200-nucleotide ribosomal RNA is filed under the name uncultured beta proteobacterium. RNAcentral describes it as "partial 16S ribosomal RNA". It matches the Rfam family "Bacterial small subunit ribosomal RNA", at positions 335 to 527 of the family's 1533-position model. Lineage: Bacteria; Pseudomonadati; Pseudomonadota; Betaproteobacteria. The record is from RNAcentral.
ACUCCUACGGGAGGCAGCAGUGGGGAAUUUUGGACAAUGGGGGAAACCCUGAUCCAGCCAUCCCGCGUGUGCGAUGAAGGCCUUCGGGUUGUAAAGCACUUUUGGCAGGAAAGAAACGUCAUGGGUUAAUACCCCGUGAAACUGACGGUACCUGCAGAAUAAGCACCGGCUAACUACGUGCCAGCAGCCGCGGUAAUACA